Molecule: ribosomal RNA, 253 nt
Filed under: uncultured bacterium
Lineage: Bacteria
Description: partial 16S ribosomal RNA
Rfam family: Bacterial small subunit ribosomal RNA
Source: RNAcentral
UACGUAGGGGGCUAGCGUUGUCCGGAAUCAUUGGGCGUAAAGGGUGCGUAGGUGGGUCUGUAAGUCCGUGGUGAAAUCUCCAAGCUUAACUUGGAAACUGCCGUGGAUACUAUAGAUCUUGAAUAUUGUGGAGGUAAGCGGAAUAUGUCAUGUAGCGGUGAAAUGCUUAGAUAUGACAUAGAACACCGAUAGCGAAGGCAGCUUGCUACACAAUCAUUGACACUGAGGCACGAAAGCGUGGGGAUCAAACAGG